UACGAAGGGGGCUAGCGUUGUUCGGAAUUACUGGGCGUAAAGGGCGCGUAGGCGGCGCUGUAAGUGAGAUGUGAAAGACCUGGGCUCAACCUAGGAAGUGCAUUUCAUACUGCAGUGCUUGAGUACGAGAGAGGAAAGUGGAAUAACGCAUGUAGAGGUGAAAUUCGUAGAUAUGCGUUGGAACACCAGUGGCGAAGGCG
This 200-nucleotide ribosomal RNA is filed under the name uncultured bacterium. RNAcentral describes it as "partial 16S ribosomal RNA". It matches the Rfam family "Bacterial small subunit ribosomal RNA", at positions 524 to 723 of the family's 1533-position model. The record is from RNAcentral.